This is a long non-coding RNA of Cyprinus carpio (common carp), 1431 nucleotides long. RefSeq lists it as uncharacterized. The transcript has 4 exons. Lineage: Eukaryota; Metazoa; Chordata; Actinopteri; Cypriniformes; Cyprinidae. The record is from RefSeq and is a predicted model, not a curated record.
CAAAUGACAGUCGCCUGUUGUCCAAAAUAUCAUAAAAAAUUGAUCAAAUAAAAAUUAUAAGGCUGCGGAGUUGGGUGGAUUUAAAUCCUCAAUGUGCUUCCGCCGUGCACACUAAACAAAUUAUUAAAUGUAGCUCGCGUACCCCAUAGUACAAAAAAUAUCAACAAUAGCCAAUCACAAGACGCGUAAUUUCUUGGCCACGUUCUAAUUCUGGCCAAUGAUCAGCUCCCGGAGGCGGGGUGAGGGCUUGACGCACUGAGGCGCGUGAUUGACGCAAGCAAUGUUACUAAAUUUAGCAGCGGGCGGCCCGGCGGUGUGAGAUAGCAGAUCCUUCAUUCAUUGCGCCGGGGCGGGUCCGUUUAUUUUAGACAUUUGAUUGUGUUCCAGCCAAUCCAAAUAUAGUCGUAGACAGGUAUUUUUAGCGGAAGCGUGUCCCCGUUACCUCUUAACAGGGAACAACCUUAUGAUAUCCCCAUACUGUAAUGGGAGAAAGUAGAGAACCGGUAACGUUAGCCUCUGGUAAUUUCGCCCGUUGGCUCAGAAUGAAGCUUUUUUAGCAGGCUUCUCCAUUUUAACUGUGUUGUUUAACCCGCUUGGCUCUCUGGAAAAGCAGGAUAGUAUUAAGUUCGGACGUCCCGAGGACACUAAACAGGUUUCGGUUGUUGUGCUUAAUGUUGUUGUAGAUCGAGUGUGGUUUAAAAGCAACCGUAUGAACGAGAGUCAGUUACUUAGCCGACAACAGAUCGCUAAGAAUCUCGAUACAACAAGUAGCAGUAACAGACGGUAGUUACAGACUUCUCAAAAUGGUGAGCACAUGUGCUUUUACUAAACACGCCGGCAGGAAAUGUUGCUUUCAAGCAAGCACCUCAACGUAUCAUGAAUGUGCAACAGAAUAACUGAGGUGGUUACCGUUCCCUGCCGAUAUAUGGACAAGCACAAGCAUCACAGUGAGCUGCUGAUGGAAUUCUUGGUAAGCAGGAGGAAUAAAGAGGGGGUAAUCCUGUCAACAUGGAGUGACGAAAUGGGGGACACAUUGCAUGUUCUGACGUGGAGUCUGGAUAAGGAUUACACAGAGCUGACUUUACACACCUUCUCACUGAUGAGGGAAUUCCAUCCAGGAUUAUGAUGCACAUCAUUUACACAGACACACACACACACCCUACUACACUAUACCACAUGGCAAAAAAAAAUAAAAAUUUCUGGGUCUCAUUCACUAACUAUACUUUUGCAACAAUUUGUUUGUGAAAUCUGCUAACAAAUAUUCAAGAUUCAUCAGUAAACUUCUUACAAAAUUUAUUUUAAAAUGACAAAAAACCUGUGGGAACAAAUCCAUCUAUACGAUGCAGUUAAAAAAAAAAGUACAUCAUGUUAUGCAAAAUAACUAACCUUGUGUAGGUGGUCACUCAUUAAGAAUAAUAAUUCCCACAAUUA